This is a long non-coding RNA of Hypanus sabinus (Atlantic stingray), 1034 nucleotides long. RefSeq lists it as uncharacterized. The record is from RefSeq and is a predicted model, not a curated record. NCBI's taxonomy places the organism in Eukaryota, Metazoa, Chordata, Chondrichthyes, Myliobatiformes, Dasyatidae. The transcript has 4 exons.
UGUACCUCAUAUACCAUCUGGGUAGUCUCCAGCCCCUUGGGAUGAACAUUGAAUUCUCUAACUUCUUGUAAUUCCCUCACCCCUCCCUUCCCCUAUCCCAGUUUCACUCUGCCUCCUCCUCUAGCUGCCUAUCACCUCUCUCAUGAUUCUGCCUUCUUUUACUACCCAUAGAGUUUUCCCCUUACAUUUCUUCUUCACCCUUCCUGUCUAUCCCCUCCCCGCUUCCCCUCUCCCACCCCUUGAUCUUUCCUCUUACUGGUUUUUCACGUGGCACCUACCAGCCUUCUCCUUCCCACCCUCCCUCUACCUUCUUUAUAGGGCCCCUGCCCCCUCCCUCUUCAGUCCUGACGAAAGUUCUCGGCCUGAAACAUUGACUACUCAUUUCCACGGAUGCUGUCCGGCCUGCUGAGUUCCUCCAGUUUGUUGGUUCUUCUGAAGACCCUGACCUGGAGUUACAUGCUGACUUCUGUUCUUUGCGGGAAUAGGAGCCGUUCUUGGGGUUUCGCGACUGGCCUUUGUUCAGCACGCCAAGGGUUUGGCCUGAGAGUUUGGCUCGUAUUUGGAAGCCUAAAAUCUCAGGGCUCUGGAGACAGGCGGAUUGAGGGCUGUGGUCCAUAGUCAAGUUUUGGAGAUCUGUUUGUGACAAGUCUACAAGAUAGAGGUAUACAAGAUAUUAAGAGGAAUAGAUAGAGUGGACAGCCAGCGACUCUUCCCUAGGGCACCACUGCUUAAUACAAGAGGACAUGGCUUUAAGGAGUCCAUUUAUCAAGACAAAGAAGAGAACCGCGAGUAAGAGUGCUGGCACUUUUUCAAAUCAGAGUCUGAAGAAGUCAUGAAAAUGAAUGUGGGGACGUGGGAUUGUUGUUCAAGUAGGUGGGGAUCUGAGGAAAGACAUAAAAUGCAAAAAGGGGGUCCUGUGCUCAGUGUAAGGGGAAGAUGUAAUGCAGGCUAUGCAUAUAAAAUACACAACUGAAUUCACAAACACAAUAGAUUCUGCUGAUGCUAGAAAUUCAGAGCAGCAAACUUCUUCCCUU